AAGACAAGCCUGCGAGCGAUGCAACGUGGUGGUGCAUUUGAGGUCUGUGAACGUGAAACAAGUGCCCAAGCAGCUAGCUUGUGUUGAUCUUUGUGCUAGCAUUGCUUCACAAGGCACUGGUGUUUGUUCUGGCUCUACUAGAGGCAGGCGUACACUUAGACUGCAGACCUACUGCCAAUAAUCAUCUUUCUGAAGAGAUUGCUAGGACUGACAGAAAUAACGAG
RNAcentral lists this long non-coding RNA (224 nucleotides) under Gallus gallus (chicken). Lineage: Eukaryota; Metazoa; Chordata; Aves; Galliformes; Phasianidae. The record is from RNAcentral.